AUGGAGGGAGCUCCCGUGACCGCAGCCACAGGGGCCUUGGGCCCCGUCGUAGCCAAGUUGGGUGCUCUGCUGGGCAGCCAGUACAAGCUUCGGCGCCGGACUCGCAAGGACGUCAAGUUCAUCAAAUCCAAGCUCAAGUCUGUGCACUCUAUCCUUUGGGCGAUAUGGGGGAAGGAGACUCUUGAUGCGCAAUCCAAGGAGUUGAAGAAGGAAGCGCUGGAUCUCACCGAUGAUAUGCACGAUGCCAUCGACGACUUCAUCCUCACCGUGGAGCCCAGUCGUAGAAACAAGCACAUGAAGAUACAGAUCAAGAUGCAAGCAAGCCCCUUCCAAGAUUUCAGGACAAGAGUAGAUGAUGUGUCAGCCCGGUGCCGCGGCAAGUGGAAGUGGGAGAAGAACAAGUGUGCUGAACCCAUCUCCAGCUUAUUUUCAAGAAGAAACGCCAAUUCCAGCGCCUCCAGCAAACCGCCUCCUCCUCGAGCUCCAUUUGUCCGGAAGGAUGCAUCAAAGCUCGUCGGUCUGGACACAUGGAGGAAUGAUCUCAUCAGAUACCUGGUAGGAGAUGAAGAGACCACAACGGUGCAGCCGCAACUCAAAAUGGCAUCCAUUGUUGGAAUGGCCGGUGUGGGGAAAACAACCCUUGCCAGCCUUGUUUACGAGGAGAUUGGAAAUAAGUUCCAGUCCCGGGCUUUUGUGUCUCUCACUCCAACUCCCAACAUGAAGGAGGUUCUCACGAGUAUUCUCCGACAAGUAGGAGCUGAACCACUUGCUGGUGCCGAAGCAAGGACAGAGGAAGAUAUCAUCCACACCAUAUCGAAUUUCCUAGAGGACAAAAGGUACCUAGUAAUAAUUGAUGACAUAUGGCAUCGUGGAGAAUGGGAGAUCAUCAGCAAGUCUUUUCCAGAAAAUACUCUGGGCAGUAGAAUUGUCAUGACAAGUCGUAUUGAUCCUAUACCAGGAGAUGAUUUGGAUAAUAACAAGUUGUACAUCAAAAUGAAUCCUAGAUGGGAUUUUUCAAAUGGAAAAUGGUUGUACGGGCAUGAUAGAUUCCUCUACACAACUGAUGAGGAAGAUGUGGCUGCUCGGAUGAAGCCUGACAUGGUUGGAGAAGGUUUUGACUGUGACCAUCCUAUUGUGCGCAUGUGUGGUGGUGUCCCGUUAGCACUACUUUGCAUGUUUUCAGCAAUGGCAAUGGUCCGACAGCAACAAGAACAACUAGGGGUACGUGUAAAGGUACAUGAUGUGCAAGAUAUGAUUGAGAAGCAAGUUAAGCAAAGUGGAAUUCAGAACACUCCAGGGUUCGAACCGUUGGUAGAGAGCUUGGAGCUUGGCUACUAUGAUCUUCCUCACCAUAUGUUGAAGACCUGCUUGUUGUACUGCAGUGUAUACCCUGAGAAUUACCCUUUUCACAUGAACGAUUUAGUCAUGCGAUGGGUAGCUGAAGGAUUUACUUAUAAAGAGGAUGUAGCAAAAGAUUACCUCAAAGAGCUUGCCAACAGGGGGUUCAUGUUGCGGGCCCCUGAAGGGGUCUACCAAAUGAAUCCGAUGAUGCGAAAUUUCCUUAGAUGGAAAUCCCGUGAAGAUAAUUUCAUUACUUGCAGUUCUGACAUCACAUUGGCAUAUGCAUGCCGAAUCCAUCGGCUAUGUAUCGAUGAUUAUCUAGUUGAUGACGGUGCGGUGGAGGUGGUGGAUCCCUUGUUGGAACUGGAUUGGUCCCAGAUUCGAUCUCUUGUUGUUUUUGAAGGUGCUAAGAGAUAUGUCCCUUUUGAGAAGUUGGAACGUGUGCGGGUGUUGGAUCUUCAAUAUUAUCAUCAUCAUCUUGAAUUCCAAAAGUCUCAUUGGAAUCCUUUUGGGGAUUUUGGAUUUGAGGCCCUUGGAAAUCAGCAUGUGAAGCAUAUAUGUGGGCUGCUCCGUGUGAGGCACCUAUUUGGCCUAGAAGGGACAGGAAUCAGUGAGAUACCACCGGAAAUAGGAAGGCUGCAGCAUCUGGAGACAUUACAGGUAAGAUUUACAUGGAUCACAGAGUUACCCUGUGAGAUUGGGGACCUACAACAGUUGAAGACUCUGGCCGUGAGUCGCAACGAUAAGCUGGCAGAGCUGCCCAAGGAUAUGGGGGGUCUGCAACAAUUAGAGACUCUGGACCUGAGCUAUAACGACAGGCUCAGGGAGCUGCCACGUGAGAUCGGGAAGCUCCAGAAUUUGGAGAAUCUGAACCUGCAUGGCACCAAGCUGGUAGAGCUCCCUGCGGAGACCGGGAAGUUGCAGCAUUUGAAAGCACUGGAGGUGGGCUGGGCAAGCAUCAAAAGGCUACCCAGUGAAAUUGGGAACCUGCGACACUUGGAGACCUUGGACCUGAGUAACAACUUGGGGCUCACACAGCUGCCUCGUGAGAUGUGGAAACUGCAUAAUUUGAAGCGGCUGCUCUUGAAAGGUACACGGGUGGCGAAGAUACCAAGGGAAAUCGGAGGGCUGAAGAAGCUGGAGAUUUUGAGAUUAGGUGCGACCAUGGGUGCCAUGCCCUGGGAAGCUAGCCAACUUUCGAAAUUGGAGGGAGUGCCCGAGUGCGUCCGCCGAGCCUGGAACAAGAGUGAUCUUGUGUCUUGUGUGUUAGCCAGGGAGAUCUUGUCCGUCCGACUGGUUAAUAGGGUCAGAGCUGAUACCGGGGGCCUAGUCGUUGGCACAAAACACAUGGGAAUUCCAUGGUGGAUCAAGGAUCACUUCAACGACCUUGGCUCCUUGGAUAUCAGGAUGUGCAAACUGGAGGAGCAGGAUCUCAAGAUUCUACGGGAGAUGCCUAGCCUGCAGUGGCUCACGCUAAGGCUGGAAAUUGUCCCAAGAAAGCUCAUAGCCAUUAGCAGUGAAGGGUUCCCAAGGCUCAACAAACUCUUUGUUGACUGCCGCGUUCCACCAGUUAUCACCUUCCAGGUAGGAGCGAUGCCGGGGCUGUUAAGUCUCUGCUUCGAUUUCCAGUUCUACGGUGGCCCACCUCCACCUGCAAAUAAAGACCCUCUGGCUAUGGGUAUCAAGCACCUCCGGCGCCUCGAGGUUGUCUCCUUCAGAUGCAAUGAGGAAUGGUAUGGAGGAGCAGCAGAGAGCAGCCCGUGCAUGAGCGCCAUCAUUGACGUCGUGAGGAAAGAAGCCCAGGAGCAUCCCAACGGCAUCAUCUUUGGUGUCUCUGGCCGCGGACUUGAGUAUUUCCCAGUGAAGGAGAGCUUGGCACGGGAUGUGUCCAGCAGUGGGAGUGGCGCUGAGAAUGCGAUGAAGCGUGAGGAGAAGAAGAGCACACCGGAGGCUUCCAGCAGCAGUGCAGGGACGGGCGAGAUCAACAAGGAAGAGGAGGAGAUCCUGGAAGCAGCAGCCGGCAGCGUGAUUGGGUUUCUUCCUUGA
RNAcentral lists this ribosomal RNA (3387 nucleotides) under Triticum aestivum (bread wheat). RNAcentral describes it as "partial small subunit ribosomal RNA". The record is from RNAcentral. Lineage: Eukaryota; Viridiplantae; Streptophyta; Magnoliopsida; Poales; Poaceae.